GAUGAACGCUGGCGGCGUGCCUAAUACAUGCAAGUCGAGCGAACGGACGAGAAGCUUGCUUCUCUGAUGUUAGCGGCGGACGGGUGAGUAACACGUGGAUAACCUACCUAUAAGACUGGGAUAACUUCGGGAAACCGGAGCUAAUACCGGAUAAUAUUUUGAACCGCAUGGUUCAAAAGUGAAAGACGGUCUUGCUGUCACUUAUAGAUGGAUCCGCGCUGCAUUAGCUAGUUGGUAAGGUAACGGCUUACCAAGGCAACGAUGCAUAGCCGACCUGAGAGGGUGAUCGGCCACACUGGAACUGAGACACGGUCCAGACUCCUACGGGAGGCAGCAGUAGGGAAUCUUCCGCAAUGGGCGAAAGCCUGACGGAGCAACGCCGCGUGAGUGAUGAAGGUCUUCGGAUCGUAAAACUCUGUUAUUAGGGAAGAACGUAUGUGUAAGUAACUGUGCACAUCUUGACGGUACCUAAUCAGAAAGCCACGGCUAACUACGUGCCAGCAGCCGCGGUAAUACGUAGGUGGCAAGCGUUAUCCGGAAUUAUUGGGCGUAAAGCGCGCGUAGGCGGUUUUUUAAGUCUGAUGUGAAAGCCCACGGCUCAACCGUGGAGGGUCAUUGGAAACUGGAAAACUUGAGUGCAGAAGAGGAAAGUGGAAUUCCAUGUGUAGCGGUGAAAUGCGCAGAGAUAUGGAGGAACACCAGUGGCGAAGGCGACUUUCUGGUCUGUAACUGACGCUGAUGUGCGAAAGCGUGGGGAUCAAACAGGAUUAGAUACCCUGGUAGUCCACGCCGUAAACGAUGAGUGCUAAGUGUUAGGGGGUUUCCGCCCCUUAGUGCUGCAGCUAACGCAUUAAGCACUCCGCCUGGGGAGUACGACCGCAAGGUUGAAACUCAAAGGAAUUGACGGGGACCCGCACAAGCGGUGGAGCAUGUGGUUUAAUUCGAAGCAACGCGAAGAACCUUACCAAAUCUUGACAUCCUUUGACAACUCUAGAGAUAGAGCCUUCCCCUUCGGGGGACAAAGUGACAGGUGGUGCAUGGUUGUCGUCAGCUCGUGUCGUGAGAUGUUGGGUUAAGUCCCGCAACGAGCGCAACCCUUAAGCUUAGUUGCCAUCAUUAAGUUGGGCACUCUAAGUUGACUGCCGGUGACAAACCGGAGGAAGGUGGGGAUGACGUCAAAUCAUCAUGCCCCUUAUGAUUUGGGCUACACACGUGCUACAAUGGACAAUACAAAGGGCAGCGAAACCGCGAGGUCAAGCAAAUCCCAUAAAGUUGUCCUCAGUUCGGAUUGUAGUCUGCAACUCGACUACAUGAAGCUGGAAUCGCUAGUAAUCGUAGAUCAGCAUGCUACGGUGAAUACGUUCCCGGGUCU
RNAcentral lists this ribosomal RNA (1372 nucleotides) under uncultured bacterium. Its description in RNAcentral is "bacterial SSU rRNA". It matches the Rfam family "Bacterial small subunit ribosomal RNA", at positions 28 to 1381 of the family's 1533-position model. The record is from RNAcentral.